Molecule: ribosomal RNA, 887 nt
Filed under: Umbilicaria hypococcinea
Lineage: Eukaryota; Fungi; Ascomycota; Lecanoromycetes; Umbilicariales; Umbilicariaceae
Description: partial large subunit ribosomal RNA
Rfam family: Bacterial large subunit ribosomal RNA
Source: RNAcentral
AUAUAAGUAGGUAAUUAUAUUAACAUCAUAGCAGGUACAGAAUGUGUCUGUACAACUUGCACUUCGUUUUUUCUUUUUUUCUCUCUUAAGAGAAAAACGAGAAAUAAAAAAGUGCUUUUUGUUUACACUAGGGGGUCGUGAAGAUCUUACUUGCAAGUAUGUGUGCUCGGAAGGGUUAUGAUGACUAUAUAAUAAUCAGACAUAGUAUGCUAAGGUAGUAUGUCUAAAGGGAAACAGCCCAGAACAAGAGUUAAUAAGGUUCCAAAAUUAUUGUUAAGUGAAAAUAAGGAAGUUUCAAUCAAAAAUGCCCAGGAAAUAGACUUAGAUGCGGCCAUUUUUUAAAGACCUCGUAACAGAGCACUGGAUGAGUAAAUUAUUUAGAUAAUUUAUCUUGAUAAAAGCACCGAAAAUUUAACGGAUCUAAACAAUAUACCGAGACCUUGUGCAUAUUUAUAUAUAUAUCUAAGUUGUAUAUUGUAUUUAUGGGGUAGCAGAACAUUGGGCAAACCUCAGAUUUUUUCUUUUUAAGACUUAAGAUAAGAUAACCCAAGUGAUAAUGCUGACAUGAGUAACGAUAAAGGGAAUGAAUUAUUCCCUCGCCUAAAACUUAUGGUAUUUACUUAAAGUAACGGCCUCUAAGUUUAUGAACCUAAAGGACUAAACGAUGAGAAAAUCUUCCACUUUAAAAAAAACAACCUUACAGGCUAGACUUAUAAAAAACAUAGGUUUAGUGCUAGUGCUGAAGUGAAUAGGUUCUGGAAAAUUUUAAGUGGUGCAUCAUGGAUAAGGGGAGGAGGCAAUCUCCUGCCUACUAUGGUGUAAAAACACCGUACCUAGAACUACCCCAAGUAAGUUAGUAGAGAUACGAGCGUUGAAUGACAUCAUAG